Notechis scutatus (mainland tiger snake) is the source of this 751-nucleotide non-coding RNA. NCBI's taxonomy places the organism in Eukaryota, Metazoa, Chordata, Lepidosauria, Squamata, Elapidae. The record is from RefSeq and is a predicted model, not a curated record.
GAUAUAUCUUUUUAACAGGGAAAGUCCUUCUAAAAGAAAAAGAAAAAGAAAAGGGAAUGAUGUCAAGAUUGGGAAAACAUUUAAAAAAGAAAUGAACUGUUUUUAUAAGAAGGAAAAUAUUGCUUAUUUGAAAUCAGCAGUGUACGUAACCUAAGUAACACAGAGAUGCAUAGGAUAAGGUUAAAAAUUAGACCAGGGUGACACAUACAGAAGCUGCAGGUUAUAUGGAUGAGCUGUUGACAAUGAAAGACAUAACUGGGACAUUCCAUUUUGACCUGCCAGUUUGAAUCAAGGGAUCAGGCUGUCCAUGGGGGGGAGAACAACAGCGCCAACUAACAGGAAGGGUCCAGGAUGAACAUUCGCUAAUUCAGCUUUACUUUUUCGUGCCACAACAUUCUGAGCAUUUGCUACAAUCAGAAGAGAAAAAGGAGAAAUAUAUUAUCUUUUUUAUUUAUACGAUGUAAUUGUGUUAAUGCAUGAGUGUUUUACAUUUUGUGUAAUUUUUAUACAUCUAUGUGAACUCAGAGAGUUUUAAUCUCCAGCAGGGUAUAAGUCUUAAUGUAUAAACAUAAAUCAAUAUCCGAUUCAGUUUUUCCUCUUUUCCUCUAAAUAAUCUCUUGCUCAGUGUGAAAUAAUCCCAUGCACCCUGGUAUCAAUUCUGACUACACAAACAAAGUUAAUUAUAUGAAGUAACCCUUCUUUAUCACUUUUAUAAAUUAUCAGUAUCCUGUCUGCAUGGUUAUUAUAACUA